AUGCCCUCCAACGCCGGUGACGCCCGCCGCAACACCCAGCUGGGAAACAGCGACGCCGCGGAUCUCGUGCGCCUUCCCCGUAUCGGGCGCUGCGAGGCCGGCUUCGACGCGGCCGCGCGCGAGGAGAAGGCCGCUGCUGACCGGGUCGAGCCUGAAGGUACCUCGCUCGGCCGCCUGAGGCCGAAGGACGUCGACGAUGCAGAGGGUUCUGCACGCCGGACAAUCACGGAACUCACCGAAGUUGUCGCGCUGCAGUCGGCAUCGGAUGGAUGCGUGGAGGAAGAGGUUCCGAUCAACAAGAGGAAAUCCGAUUUGGUGGAAGGAAUCCAUGUUAGCGACGGUGAAACUGUCGUCGCAGCACCACCGGCCAAGAUCUGGAGGACUAGCCACAAGACGAAAGUGGCCACAGGAGGCAGCCGCGGUCGCGGCCGUGGUCCUCGUCGUGGUCGUGGACGCGGACGCGGACGAAGCUCUACAGUGAGUCCGCGCAGGAUUCUUCGUCCUCACAAGGCAACAGGUGCUGGCUGA
Molecule: ribosomal RNA, 528 nt
Filed under: Triticum aestivum (bread wheat)
Lineage: Eukaryota; Viridiplantae; Streptophyta; Magnoliopsida; Poales; Poaceae
Description: partial small subunit ribosomal RNA
Source: RNAcentral